This 902-nucleotide long non-coding RNA is filed under the name Gallus gallus (chicken). RNAcentral describes it as "long non-coding RNA NONGGAT009353". The record is from RNAcentral. Lineage: Eukaryota; Metazoa; Chordata; Aves; Galliformes; Phasianidae.
CAGAACUCUUCUAAUAUUUCGGAUUAAAAAAAUGUAACUUCGUAGCUCUCAGAGUGACUGUUAAGAAAGCUGUGCACAUUGUUCCAGAGCAGACCUUGUCCGACCAAAACUGCUGAGCACAGCUUUUAUAUUGUUGUAUUAAUGCAAUUUAUUUACUAUGAAAUGUUCACAUUAUUGAAUCCUAUUUUUCUACCAGCUGGUCAUACUGUGAAAAGCAAACCAUCCAGCCUAAAUAAAUAAAACAGUACCACUGUGCUGGCAUGUCAGAAGACAAGCAGUGAAGUGUGCAGCUGAAGUGCAGGAGGAACUGAGGGGUUUUAACUUGGAGGGAUUGGGGUAUCAGAAAGGGAGUACUGCAAAGGUGAGUUGAGGAGGUUUGGAACUAUUGGGGAACAGGAGGUGAGGGCUCUGAGCUUGGCAGGCUUCAGAGCCACGAGGCACUGUAAAGUGGGGCUCUGGUAGUGUGGGCUCAAUGCUUAUCGUGGUAAUCCUACUUUAAUCCCAGUAUAUACCCUGACCUUGAAGAAAGGAAUCUGAGAACAGAGUAUUGUCUGCUUACCUCUCUGCCAUCCUUGACUUUGCAGCUCUCAGCUAAGAUCCGCUUGAAUAAGCAGCUACAUUUCUUGGUGCUUAUCCAAGCCACGGAUGCUCCUUGCAAAACCUGGUUCUGAAGAGACGAGCAUCGGGGCAGAAUACCUGGAAGUCUGACACCAGUCUUGCAGUGUGGCAUGGAACACGGACUGCAGCAGUCAGAGACCUGACCUGUGCCUCACUUCAGAUCAAAUGAUGAGCAAUCACAUCUGGAGCAGGAUGCAGAAGAUCUGAAUAGAAGCCCAAGUUCUGUCACAGAUGCACAACAGAUUUUGGCAUGAUAGCUCCUGAUGUAGAUAUAUUCUGGCUAA